Molecule: long non-coding RNA, 998 nt
Organism: Hypanus sabinus (Atlantic stingray)
Lineage: Eukaryota; Metazoa; Chordata; Chondrichthyes; Myliobatiformes; Dasyatidae
Exons: 3
Source: RefSeq, a predicted model, not a curated record
CACACAACAUAUUGGAAAAGCUCAGUAGGCCAAGCUGCAUCUAUGGGGAAAAAGUUACAGUUGAUGUUCGGGUGGAAUCCUGUCCAAGGGUUGACUGUACCUUUUUUCCAUAGAUGCUGCCUUGCCUGCUGAGUUCCUCCAGCAUUUUGUGUGUGUUGUUCAGAUUUCCAGUAUCUGCAGAUUUUCUCUUGUUUGUGGCACUAAAAUGGUCUUCAUUUUGUUCUAAUAAUGUUCUUUCAUGUACAAAUAUAUUUAUGUUUGUUUUAGUUGUGAAUGCUGCUUAUCUGAUGCUGUGUGUCUGUGUUGCUGCUAAAAUUAGUUUUUUCAAGGCAACUGUACACAAGACUAUAGCAAACUGUGAGAUUUUUUUAAAUUAAAUGUCAAAUUCCUUUCUUUUGGUCACCUGUUCUUAAAAUGUAACACACACAAAACACUGGAGGAACUCAGCAGGUCAGGCAGCAUCUAUGGAAAUGAGCAAACAGUCAACCUUUUGAGCCAAGACCCAUCUUCAGUACUGGAAAGGAAGAGAAGCGGUUUGCCAUUGCCUUCUCCUGGGAAGUGUCUUUGCAAGAUGGGUGACUGCAGCCAUUGUCAAUACUCUUCAGAGGUCAGGUAUACUCAACAAAUCUCCAGAAUUAUAACCAUAACAGAAUCAAUGAAAGACUGCGCAACCAAAGUACAAAAAGACAAAAAAACUAUGCAAAUACAAAAAGAAAGGAAUAAUAAUAAUAAUAAUAAUAAUAAGUGAAUAAGUAAACAGUAAAUAUGGAGAAUGCAAGGUGAAGAGCUCUUCAAGUCGAUUGUUGUUAAUGUGGUUAAUCUACUGUAAAUCUGAAUAUACAUUAUGACAUUCUGAAAGAUGGCUGUGGAAUGAAACAAGAAAAUAUAGAAUAUAGCUCCUGCAUGUUACUCAGAAUAAAUUAAUGCAAUAAAAACACAAGUCUCAAUGAUAUGUUAAACUUCCAGCUUUUAAUGUAUAGAAUAUGACCAUGUAAAAU